RNAcentral lists this ribosomal RNA (654 nucleotides) under uncultured archaeon. Its description in RNAcentral is "bacterial SSU rRNA". It matches the Rfam family "Archaeal small subunit ribosomal RNA", at positions 508 to 1160 of the family's 1478-position model. The record is from RNAcentral.
GCCUAAAGCGUCCGUAGCCUGCUUUGUCAGUUUUCGGUUAAAUCCAUACGCUCAACGUAUGGGCUGCCGGAAAUACUGCAAAGCUAGGGAGUGGGAGAGGUAGACGGUACUCGGGAGGAAGGGGUAAAAUCCUUUGAUCUCUCGAUGACCACCUGUGGCGAAGGCGGUCUACCAGAACACGUCCGACGGUGAGGGAUGAAAGCUGGGGGAGCAAACCGGAUUAGAUACCCGGGUAGUCCCAGCUGUAAACUAUGCAAACUCAGUGAUGCAUUGGCUUGAUGCCAAUGCAGUGUUGCAGGGAAGCCGUUAAGUUUGCCGCCUGGGAAGUACGUACGCAAGUAUGAAACUUAAAGGAAUUGGCGGGGGAGCACCACAAGGGGUGAAGCCUGCGGUUCAAUUGGAGUCAACGCCAGAAAUCUUACCCGGAGAGACAGCAGAAUGAAGGUCAAGCUGAAGACUUUACCAGACAAGCUGAGAGGUGGUGCAUGGCCGUCGCCAGCUCGUGCCGUGAGAUGUCCUGUUAAGUCAGGUAACGAGCGAGAUCCUUGCCUCUAGUUGCCACCAUUACUCUCAGGAGUAGUGGGGCGAAUUAGCGGGACCGCCGUAGUUAAUACGGAGGAAGGAAGGGGCCACGGCAGGUCAGUAUGCCCCGAA